This 400-nucleotide ribosomal RNA is filed under the name phytoplankton environmental sample. RNAcentral's name for it is "partial small subunit ribosomal RNA". It matches the Rfam family "Eukaryotic small subunit ribosomal RNA", at positions 587 to 988 of the family's 1831-position model. The record is from RNAcentral.
AGCUCCAAUAGCGUAUAUUAAAGUUGUUGCAGUUAAAAAGCUCGUAGUUGGAUUUCUGGUGGGAGUGAUCGGUCCGACUCUUAGCGUGGGUACUUGCAUUGUCUCCGGCCAUCCUUGGGGAGAGUUUGUCUGGCAUUAAGUUGUCGGGCAGAGGAUCCUCAUCGUUUACUGUGAAAAAAUUAGAGUGUUCAAAGCAGGCUUAUGCCGUUGAAUAUAUUAGCAUGGAAUAAUAAGAUAGGACUUUGGUACUAUUUUGUUGGUUUGCGCACCAAAGUAAUGAUUAAUAGGGACAGUUGGGGGUAUUCGUAUUCCGUUGUCAGAGGUGAAAUUCUUGGAUUUACGGAAGACGAACUACUGCGAAAGCAUUUACCAAGGAUGUUUUCAUUAAUCAAGAACGAAA